Molecule: non-coding RNA, 26 nt
Filed under: Rattus norvegicus (Norway rat)
Lineage: Eukaryota; Metazoa; Chordata; Mammalia; Rodentia; Muridae
Source: RNAcentral
UGAGAGUCUGAGUUUUAGCAGCCAAG